This is a long non-coding RNA of Myodes glareolus (Bank vole), 524 nucleotides long. RefSeq lists it as uncharacterized. NCBI's taxonomy places the organism in Eukaryota, Metazoa, Chordata, Mammalia, Rodentia, Cricetidae. The record is from RefSeq and is a predicted model, not a curated record.
AAGAUGUGUUGGGGCCUGACCUUGCACUUUGGGAGGUGACUGUGCUGGAAAACUGUGGUCGAAGGAACCAGAUCACACAGGAGCGAGGUGGCCCCAGCUCAAAAGGACUACUGUCAGACACAGGCAUAAUAUCACGUGGAGAGGGCCCGCUGUACCACAUGGCGUCACCAGCCAGCAUGAGCCAGGCCAUGCAUCCUGUCGCUGGCUCCCUGGGCGUCCACCAAGCAUGGAGGAGAAGUGGAAAGGAGAAAAGAGAAGCAUGAGACCCUACAAUUAAAGCGGCGGUUGUUUAUCACAGCAGAGCUCUGCUGCCAACGCCAGCCGCCAUCGCAUCUCCGGCUGCCGGCUCCCCCCGAGUGUUUAUUUAAGCCAACACAUUGCUCUGCUAAUUGGAUAACAUUCUAUGUGAAAAUAGGCCUUUUAAAACAACAGUGUCGGUGGCUAAAACAGCUGCAACCACAAAAGUACAAAGGAGCGUGGCUCAGGAGGGAGAAUUAAAGGCACCUCGUGUGGGGAACAAUUAA